CUACUGGAGCGGACUCUAAUAAACAAUAAAUUAAAUAUAAAAAAACUUUUUGUUAAGAGCCAAUUUUUUUUCCCAAUUUUUCAUUUUCCCACUUUUUUCUUUUCAUUCCCUAUUUCAGCAAUGAGCAAUAAUAUAUCAUUUGAUAUAUUUUUGCUUUUCUUUCUCAAAUACACAAAAAGAAGUGACAAAAAAAUACAGAAAAAGAAGAAAACAACCCUAAUCCUCCAACAAUGGGUAAACGGAAUUGAAUUCGUCAGAAUGGGUGAACCAAAUUCGUCUCAACAACCGUAAUCCUCCGAAUUCGUCCCCGUCGAAGAACAAUCCGCUGUGGAAGAAGAAAACCCUUCCAUCAACCCUAAUCCGUGAAGAACAACCUCAAUCACUCCGCCGUUAUUAUCCAUCGUUCUCGUGGUUACAAGGGUUCUAGCUAUUGCUAUUGCGUGACCUAAUUUGACUUUCUUAUUUGUUCGGAUUUCACGCUUUCAGUUUCGAUUUGUUCCGUAUUGCACGCUUUCAGGUUUCAGUUUGAUUCCUUUGCAUAUGUUAAAAGGCUAUAGUGGAAGCAGCUGAUACUGAAUUCAUCAUACUUGGCCAGCGAAUUUAUUAAAUUACUUGGCCUUAAGGACUUUAUCUUGAGGAGAUCAUUAAGUGGUAACAGAAACAAUCAGUUGCAUUGGCUACUCAGCACACUACAAGUAAAUUGUAGCAACUGGCAUGGUUGGUAAUGACCUUCUCAAUUUGAGCAUGAGAAAAUGAGUUCUGAGACUGUAGCUGGCAUAUUUGGUUAAGGGAGUUCAAAGAAGCUACCAAGGUUGGUGUACUUUGGACCUUAAACACAGAGAGGUUGCUCGGUACAAGUCUGUUGUGCAGGUUGUUGGCACUGUGCAGGGACAUAAUAUAUCUGGAAAGGAUCAGCGUGUUCAUUGCUCCAUAAAUAUCAACACAGAGACUGGAAAGUCUGUUUGGCCAGUAGUUGUAUCUCCUUUCUGCACUAGUGUUUGUGGGAUAUUUUGGUGGAUUAUUUAUUAGUGGAUUAUAUUUUCAUGGAUGUAGACCUUUUUUGUUGACAUUAUAUAUGGUUAUAUGGUAUAAAUAGAAGGUCCAGUAAAAAACUAUUUAAUUUAU
Molecule: long non-coding RNA, 1125 nt
Organism: Trifolium pratense (red clover)
Lineage: Eukaryota; Viridiplantae; Streptophyta; Magnoliopsida; Fabales; Fabaceae
Exons: 9
Source: RefSeq, a predicted model, not a curated record